RNAcentral lists this ribosomal RNA (440 nucleotides) under uncultured bacterium. RNAcentral describes it as "partial 16S ribosomal RNA". It matches the Rfam family "Bacterial small subunit ribosomal RNA", at positions 338 to 795 of the family's 1533-position model. The record is from RNAcentral.
CCUACGGGAGGCUGCAGUGGGGGAUAUUGCACAAUGGGGGAAACCCUGAUGCAGCGACGCCGCGUGGGUGAAGAAGCGCUUCGGCGCGUAAAGCCCUGUCAGCAGGGAAGAAAAUGACGGUACCUGAAGAAGAAGCCCCGGCUAACUACGUGCCAGCAGCCGCGGUAAUACGUAGGGGGCAAGCGUUAUCCGGAUUUACUGGGUGUAAAGGGAGCGUAGACGGCGGUGCAAGCCAGGAGUGAAAGCCCGGGGCCCAACCCCGGGACUGCUCUUGAAACUGCGUGGCUGGAGUGCAGGAGAGGUAAGCGGAAUUCCUGGUGUAGCGGUGAAAUGCGUAGAUAUCAGGAGGAACACCGGUGGCGAAGGCGGCUUACUGGACUGCAACUGACGUUGAGGCCCGAAAGCGUGGGGAGCAAACAGGAUUAGAUACCCUUGUAGUC